Molecule: unclassified non-coding RNA, 16060 nt
Filed under: Octopus sinensis (East Asian common octopus)
Lineage: Eukaryota; Metazoa; Mollusca; Cephalopoda; Octopoda; Octopodidae
Description: protein PAT1 homolog 1, transcript variant X3
Source: RNAcentral
AUAUCUGUACGUUGUCUAAUAAACAUCUCUGCGUCAAGAGUAUAUUUUUGGAGUUAGUCACGGAAGGAAAAGAAACUAAAAAUGACUUGACAUGGAAGGUUCAAUUUUGGACUAUGAAUCUGAGUUUUCUGCUCUUGGAGCAGGGAAACUUGGAGAAUAUGAUAAUGAACUAAUUGAAGCCCCAGAAGAUGAAGAAGACAAUGAUCUCCGAAAUGAUGAAACUUUUGGACUUUCUGAUGAUGCAUAUGAAUGGCAGGAAGACCAUAAUCCAUUACAGGCAGGUUUUCCGCUUAAUAACAGACCAAUUGAAAAUCAGGGUCUUGAAAAAUCAUCUAAGUUGUCUCAGGAGAUCACCCCCAAAGCAUUCCUAGAUGAGAAUUUCGAGGAUGUCUUCCGAAUACAGGAGGAGUUUCUGGAAGAAAGUAUUUACAAUCUUGUGGUUGAUGAUGAUGAAGAGGAGGAUGAGAGGCUUGAUUUGUCUGAGAAGAGAUUUAGUGGCAAUACAUCAGUCUCCAAUUCAAGUUAUGCUAAAGAUGUACCAAAAAAACCUAUUAAUCUUAAUCAUUUGUUUGGUCCAUCAUCUCCUCCUGGACUUUUGGAUACUGAGCACUUGGUAUCACCAAACAGCCACAGUAUUUGGUGGUCUCCUCCAGCAGAGAUUUUGCAGCCUGGUAACACACAGCCCAAGCCAAAUCCACCUGAUAGUCUUCAGUCUUUCUUUAAUUUUGCCAAAUCAACUGGGCAAACUAGCCUUCAGAAUUCAAAACAAAUGAUGCAGUCAUCUCGCAGCAUAACAAGACCUCAUACACUGGCAGAAGUGGAAAAGAAACUUUUCUCAAACGCUAAUGUUGUAACUGCAGAAGAAUUGGAAAGGCAUAUGAGAGGAGAUGUUCCUACAUCAAGUAACCAAAAUUUGGAUCAUGUGUCUCCAUUUUCAAUGGCUGCGCCCAUUCCUCCUGUUGGUUCAGCGCCUUCAUCGUUUACAUCUCAGGUGUUUAAUAAUGCACAUGAUACAAACAAAAUGUCCGGAAGCUUAAAUUCGAUGCCAACUAUUGCUUCUAUGAAUGGCAGGGGUUCACCAUGUUUACCGCCUGGAAUCCUUCCCUCACAGCAUCUGUUACAAAAUGGUGGACCAUCAUCACAACUCUUGCAAGGAAUGCAAGCACGACUUAGCAAUGGUCAUGGCCCAUCGCCUAUGCCUGGAAUGCAUCUUGGUAUGAAUAGGAAUUCAACACCAACUGGUCACAACCAGCCAUCUCAGGCAGCAAUUGAUGCCCUUACAAAACAAAGGUUACCUUAUCCCUGCAAUUCGCUCAUUGGAAACCUUGCAAGGAAUCAUCCUGUGCCCAGAUUUCCACCAAAUUUGAUAUACCCUCCAAAUUUAAUGAGAAUAGUUGGCUCAUCAGUUCCUAAUAUUAAUGGACAAAGAAUUCCUCAUCCAAAUGACAAUGUCAGGAUUCACAGACCACCUCAUCAAAUGCGUCAAUUUAAUAACCAAAACAAAAAUAAUUAUCAGCAGCAGCGAGGACGCGAUAAUUAUCGGGAACGUUUAGACACACGGCAUCCUAUUGAUGAAUAUGCUGGGAUUAUGACACAGAAGGAAAAAGAAUGGGUUAUUAAAAUUCAGCUUUUGCAGUUACACACAGAUAAUCCUUAUGUUGACGAUUAUUAUUAUGUACGCUACACUUUAAGGAAAUCAGCUGAAGAGAGGAAGAAAAAGAACAAAGAAAAUAAGGAUGAACCAAAACUUAUUAUUCCAGCACUUGCUAAAAUUGAAACAAAAGCUUAUACUCCAGCACAUUUUGAAGGAUCUUUAGGAAGAGUUUCCACAUCAAGUGUCCACAAUCCUCGACAGGUUAUCGACUUAGUUUCAAUGGCACACAAUGAUGAGCAAGGUGGAAAAUCAUCAGGAAGAGAUGUAUACAGAUAUCGACAAAUGUUAAUGGAAAUUGAAAAAGCAUAUGUUAUUUUGUUGGACAUUGACGACCUGGAGAAACGUGUUUUGGCCUUACCAGAAGAAUCAAGAAAAAAAUUAUAUGAAGACCGUACUGAGAAGAUAAAUCAGCUCUUUUUAAAUCUGGGAACUCAAGAUAAUCAUGCAGACAGUUUUCUCUAUAUGAUGUCCAUCAGGAAAGGAAGGAAACUUGUGGCUCGGUGUCUUCCUAUAUUUAAUUCGGAACAUUCAAAAGCUGUUCUGGUUACAAUAAUGAAAAAUUUGCCACAUUUUAUUAAAAGAGAUCAACCAGAGGAGGGUCUAAUGGUUUUAAGUGAGACUGUGACUCAACAAAUUAGUGUUUGUAAUUUGAAAGCAGUUGUAGAACUAAGUCAGUUGUUGUUAAAAGAUACUCCAAGUCUUUCCAAUAAGUCAUUGGUUCUUGCCCUACAAAACAAGUUUGCUUGUUCUGUGAUUAGUAGCCUUCUUAACAGAGCAGAAAUGCUUUUCCUCCCAUCUUCAAAUGUUGAAAUUGAUAACCAACUCCGAAGUGCAUGGUCCCAAUUUGCUCAAACUUUUGUUGAGACGUUGAACUCUAUGGAAAUGUCAUCAAUUGCUAAACCCUUUUUUCAGAAUUCCAACUUAAACUUCAGCUCAAUAAAAAAACCAGUGUAUUUAGAGGAUUAGCCAUAGCUGUUUAAAGAUGCCAUGAUUCUAUUGGGGAUUCAUAAACAAAAGCAUUUAUCAUUUAGUCUUGAAUUAGUCAACUGUUAUUGCUGUAAAUCGAUGGUAACAGCCCUGAGCAAAGGCAUCUGAGGAUCGAUAGCCAAGAAUAUCUUGUUGGAAGGAAUUCUUUACUCUGAAGUUUUUGUGUGUGUGUGCGUGGGGUCAUUUUUUCUUUUUUUCUUUUUUCGUUUUUAGUUAAAAAUUAUCUACUGUGAAAAUAUUUAAGAGAAUUUGUAAUAGUUUGAGGAGAAACUUCAGAUGUAUAUGUGUAUAAAUAAAAGUGAUCAGUCUUUAGAAAUAUCUCAUUUAAAGAUAAAGGGAAUUCAUAACUUUAUUUUCCUGAGUGUGUAUGUAUACGUAUGCAUGUGUGUUUCUGUGUGCAUGCAGAUUCUUAAAUGUUUCUCAGGGUUUCCUUUUUUAUUUAUUUAUUCCAUACUAGAGCAACAUUCUGCUGUGUUGAAGAUGAAUUAUUACAUUUAAGGUUUUAUAGCUUUCUUAAGUUCUGUAGCAAGUUUAUUCAACCUAUGAAACUUUAUUAAAAAAAAUUGAUUUUUAAGAACUUUUGCAUUGCUUAACUUGGUGACUCUUAAAUGCAUUUAUGAAGUUUCAGUACUGUAGAUUUCUUGAGUCUUAGAAGAAGAAAAAAAAACUCAUUUUCUAACCUCAGACUUUCUUUCCUUACUUUUUACAAAAAACGUUUUUUUUUUUAACCCAGUUUUCUUCUCCCAAUAUCUUUUGUAUCUUGGCGGGGGUCACUUCUGAUGAGAAAAUUCCAGUUAUUAAGCUCUAUUUAGUAUGGCUUUGUUUGUUAUAAAUUUACUUUUAGUUUUGAUCUUUGUUUACACUCUCCAGUUGUAACAUUUACAAUCGCAUUUUGUAUUGUAGUAGAUGAAGCUUCCAUUAUUUCUCUGGUCCUUUUAAUAUCAGGCCAAUAUAUAAACACAGUUGUUGUUUACAAUUCCAUGAAUUCUUUAUAUUCAAUAACAGGGCAAAGUCGUGGGAAAAUAUCUUAAACUAUUCCUGAGGUGAUAGAUAAUUAUAGGGUAUUAUUUUGUUAAUAUCCAUUUACAUAGUUAAAAUCCUGUCAAUAUUGACUUAGCCUUUCAUCCAUGUUUCAGUGUUGUUAAAAUACUUGUCUAAAACUGGGAUAGAUUCAACCAACCACUCUCCAUUCCCUGAAUUUGUGGCUCAGUGCCAAAGCUAUAAUCAGAAGUUAUUUUAUAACAUUGAUAGAAUAAACCAAGGUACUUUUUUUUUUUUUUUUUUUUUUUUUUUUAAAUAUCUGAGAAUUAAAGAUUACAAACAAAAUAUAUACUUUAGAUUCACACAUAUAAACAUUACAAAUGUUUAUGAAAUGGAAUGAUAAUAUAUUUCUGCAUACAAGAUGUAUGUUGAAUAAUUCAAAUUUUCUAAAAUGUAACAUUUUUAAAAAUAUUUAUUAUAAGUUAAAAUAAGGUUCAGAAACCAAUGAAAUUUUUUGUCAUUUCUUGUGUCUUUUCAUGAACCUUAUUUUCUCAGCAGACUUUUUUCUUCUUUCAAGAACUCUUUGCUAAUACAAUACAAAGAGUAAAAAGAUAAAUUUUUGUUGAGUGGGUGUAUGAAGUGAGAAAUUUUCAAACCACCAAUGACCUGAUUUUUCAAUUUUCAUUCAGCUUCUCAUAUUUAAUGUCUUUUGGAAUCAAAGCUUCAGCUCCCUAAUUCCAUCCUCUUGUUACAUUGUUGAGGCUUUGUGCUUAAUUAAAAAAAAUCUUUAUACACAACUUAAGUAACAGCUAAUUACAUGAAGUUUCAAUAAAACUGUUUCAGAAAUGAGUUGCUGGUAUGACUGCAUUUCUAUUCCUAUUUUGGCUCACUUCUUACAGAUUCCCAUAUAUCAUUUAUUACAAUUAUGAAACUUUAUGCUUGCUUAUGAAAUUAUUUUUAGGGAGGUGGAGUAUGUACUAAAAAGUAAAAAGACCUAGAUGAUAUGAUGCACAUAAUUUCAUGUGUGACGUUUGUGCCCAACUACUGUUGGUGUUGAUUUCACCCUUCAUUCUUCAAGAAUUGAAAGUACCAAAGUAUAAUAGGUUUGGAUUAUUCAAUUUUAAUCUUACUGAUUUAGAAAAUUAUAUUUCAAAUGCUUUUAUGCAUUCAGCUGUUGAUUUCAAAUGUUAUUUAUUUUGUUGAAUAGUUUUGUUGGAUUAACAAAAGUUCUGAGAUAUCUCAUUGAUUAAAGCACAACAAUUAUUAAUGAGACAUGCAUCUUAAUAAGCAUAUCUUGCUAUUGAUCUUAAUCAGUUUUUCUAGCAUCAACAAUUAAUGUUGCGAGUUGAAACCCAGCAUUUUCUGUGAGUGUAUAUUUACUCACAAAAUAGUUUGUGAGUAUGAGAAUGUUGAGUUGGUGCAAAUGUUUGAGUAUUAAUCUAGAUACUUUAUAACAUGUUUAAUGUUUCACUGAGCUGUAGUCCGGCUGGGAGGUAACUUCAUUUUAAAUUCUAGCAGUAAAUGUUUUGAGGUUUAUUUGACCCUGAACCAUUAUAUCUUACAUAAAGGGAUUUGUAUCUAAACAGGAGAUUGUCAGUCUAAAUCAAUUAUGCUUUGCAUAUGCUCUUGUUAAUAUCCAUUUUCUUUCCCUUAAUCUUGGGUUACAUUUUUAAGAAUCCAAUACUAAUUAGGAAUAUUGUGAAACUGACCAUCUCUACCCAAAUGAAUGAAUAUUUGCUAAAAACAGUGACAAAUUGCCUUACAUAAUUAUAUAUUCAUUUCAUAAAAUAUCUGGGUUGUGUUAAAUUUUGUUUAUUAAAACGUGCAUCUGCUGCAUGACAAAACAUUUUUAAAUGCAGUUUCAUCAUUUUACUUCUAAAGUUUUAAAGCAAGCUUCCAAAGCUGUAUUAAAUAUUUCAUUAACCAUAUACAUUGCAGGGUAAAGGGAAAAAAAACAAAGCAAAUAUGUAUAUAGAAGAUUAAAAUGUUGGCCUAUAUUAAGGUAUGAAGACAUAAAAAACUUACUGUUAAACAAUUUUUGAACAAUUCUUAAACUGUAGUGAAAGAAAUUAGGACUAUUUUCAUUUGCAUUUGAUAUGUUACAUACAAUCUUUCAACUGCUUAAUCUCAAGUCUUUAACUUGCUUCUGCUAGACUCUAGACCAUAGUCUCAUAUGUAUCAGUAAAAAUUUAGGAAUAUAUAAAUUAUUCCUCUUUAUACUUAACUGGUAAACCAUAUUGGUCUUUAGCCUAGCAGAUUAAGGUAUUGAUGUUCUCCUCUCCAGUUCAAUUCUUGGUGAUGGCAACACUAGAUAUAUUCUUGAAAAAAAACCCCAAAAGACUAGAGAUUGAGGAGUUUGAAAGUCUGUACAUAUAUAUAUUUAAAAAUAAAAAUUGAAUGCUCAAGUAAAUAUUCCUCUUAUUUUAUUAACUUUAAGUGAAAGAAAUUAUAACAAUUAUAUUUUUUAAAAUGUCAUUCAGGCUACAGUGGAGCAGCAAAUGUCUCUGACCUUCUCGGGCCUUUGUAGACAGGGAGAUAACAAUAAGGUUAAUAAACUAUGUUCACUGUGCAUUCUGACAGAUAAUUGAACAGGAAAACAUGUAGAGGGAAUGAAUUCAAGAAAAUUGGGCAAAAUAUUUCAUUUGGUGGAAAGAGCAGUGUUAAUUCCAUUUUUUUUUAACCAUCUAAAACACCAUUUUAAAACAUUUAUUGAUCUACUCAUAAAAAAAGUAUAAAAAAUAGUUUGUGGCAGAUAUUUGAUUGAUGUCACAUUUUUCCUCGAGUUACAAAAAACAAAUCAAUAUCAAUUAAAGCUCAAUUUCUAAACUGAACAUAUAGAAAUUAGUUUUUUCUAAUUUUCUGGGAGCUUAAGAUUUCUGUCAACAUCUAACAGUUUACUUAAUAUUUCUAUAGAGCAAGAAACAUUUUAUCCUAGACAUUGAGACAUACAGUCUCACAGCAGAAAAUGAAAUUUUGAAAUGGUUUCUGAAUUGUAAUAAGCCAUCCAUUUUUCUCUCUAUAAAUAUUCUUCACCUCCCUAUUCCUGCACUCGUAUUUAAUGUUUGGAGAUACUAAUAAAAACAAUACUCUCGAACAACUUAUAGGACAGGGGCAUGAAAUUGUGUGUGCAUACAAUAUACAUGAAUAUAUGUAAACAAGCCUGUUUAAAUGUUAAAAUUUUUAUGCAUGAUUAAGUCGAUGCAGUAAAAUGUAUGCUCUUACUCUUUUAGCAUAUAUAUAUAUAUAUAAGAUAUGCUAAAAAUACACACUGUAAUGUUUACACUUUACAUUCUUGUGGAUGUCAACUUCUGAUAUUCCUAUUCUGAACAGUGCUUCUUUUCUUCAGUUACAUUUUCUAAAAUUCAUACUUGUAAAUUAAAACACAUAUACAUACAUACGGUAUGGUUCUUUAUUGAAAGUACAUUAUAACUAUUCAGCUUAGUGUUGAAUUAAGUAAUCAUCAAACCUAAAACCUUCUGAAUUCAACUUUUUAUACAUGAUUUCUGAGAUUUAAGAAGUCUAAAGGAAAAAAAAUAUAUGCUGUUAAAAGUAAAAUCCUCUAUGAAAUCAUCUAAAUAAUAUUACCAAAACUAUAAGAAAACUAGCGUGCAUAUUUGAAUAAUAUAAACAUGAUGCAAAAAUUACAACUUACUAGAAUUAUCUAAUUCCAUCGAUUAUCUAAUUGAUUCCAAUGUUUUAUUAAAUGAAAGUUGUAUAUCUCACUAAAGACUACAAAGACCAUUUUGCUUCUAACCCCAAAUAUAGUUAACUUUAAAUCAUGGGACAAAACCUUAAUACUAUUAGAAAAGCAGUCAACCUUAAAAAUUGGGACAAUACCAACUGUUAUUAGUUGGUUUAUUAUUAGUAAAAAUUACUCUAGAUUUAUCCAAUUUGAUAUUGUUGAUUUUUAUUCCUUUCUAUCUAAAUCUUUCUCCAUCAGAUCUGUAGAAUUCACUAAUGAUAUAUAAAUGAUAAUGAAAUUGUUUGCUGGGAAAUAUCCACUGUUUAGCAAAGAUUCUGUCUGGAUUUUAAAAACUCAGAUCUAAUGGUUCUUUCAUUGUAAGUAUGGGGUCAUAUGAUUGUGCUGACUUGUGUGUUGUUGAAGGACUACCAAGUAUGAAAAUUGUAUAAACUUUGGUCUAAAGAUGGAUUGGCUAUAUCCCUAUAUGCCAAUGGAUACUCUUCAGAUGUAAUAGAACCUCAUUAAUGCCAUCAUAAAUUUGGCUUCUCAAUGGCUAUUUAAUAGAAAUUAAAUAUAAAUUCUUUUUGUUGUUACCCUCAGUGUGGUCUGAAACUUUUAUAAAAUGUUGCCAUUCUGGAUAAGUAUCUACUGAAAGUCUGGAAUUUAUUACCACCAUGGACUGACUGGCCUUCCAUAUUCAUUCAUUCUUCACAUCAUACCCAUAAAUCAAGCUGACCUUGCUACUUUUAUUUUGAUAUCCUUGAGUACUAGUUAGGUUUAGUUUAACAUACACAUUCAUUUGUGGUUCUGUGAAACAAGUAAUUUAAAUGUUGAGUUGUACCUCCUUUUAAUAUUUGUCCUCAGCAUGCACCUGGUGAAUCAUUAUUUACUUCAAAUACUUCAUUGUUGACCAGUGUAAAUUAUCUUGAUUAAUUCCUAUGAAACUCAGUUAAAAUGGAUUUUCUAUAAGGGACUGUCAUUUUAUUUUACUCACAUAUUUUAUUUUUGUUUGAGUAAUUAAUCUUGUAUAGUGCUUGUAGCUACGUCUGUACCUUGAUUUUAUACUACUAUCUAGUAAUUUGAUUUUCAUUGGACAUUCAUAAUUGUUGAAGCAAAAGCUUUUAUUGGUACUAACAAGAAACCAUGGAAUAGAAAUAGCUGUAAGCACUAUAUAAUGCACAGACACUAAACACUUUGUGAGUGCAUAUUGAGCACUUAACUGUUUUCAUGGAAAAACUCACCAUGUUGUAUGUGUUAUAUAUAUAUAUAUGAAAUCUCAUUUAUAGUUUAUUUAAAAGAUCAAACCCUUACAUUUCAUGAAUUUUCAAUACAACCUUGGAGUACAUUUUUAACUUCUAUGAAAUUCUGAAAAAAUUAAACUGCAAAAUCAUUUGAUUACAGAUAAUCACUGAUACUGUUACUAAUAAACCAGUGGAUUAAAGUUUUUUCCUUGGUUUCAAAUUGUGAAAAAAAAUACAUGAUAUAAUUUACCUUUGCUUAUGAACUACUCCAAAUUAUCUCAUUCUCUUAACAAAAUAUUUGAUUCACAAAUUCUUUAAUUCUUGAAAAUUGAAACUUUAUGAAUGAAUUUAUCAAAUAACAAUGUAUUGUAAAUCAUUAGAAUUACUUUAAAGUGAUAAAUAUAAAAUUAUAUAUCAGAUGUGACCAGGAAAGGGAGAGCUCAAACAGUAUGAAAUGGUUGUAAAUUAUAUAUAUAUGCUUUUUUUUUUUUUUUUUUUUUUUUCUAAAAGAAAAUUACUUACAAUUUGUAUAUUUCCACAAUAUAUAAACUCUAUUGCUUUACAAAAUAUUUGAAAUGAAGAUUGUAAGAUACUACUGUAUUUUUAAAAUUUUAUCAAAUGUAAUAUUUUUAUUUUAUUACUUAACUGAAAAGAAUAUAUAUAUAUAUUAUCUCAAGUAAAACUUUGAUUUUGAAUGAUUGUAAGAAGAAUGAAUUUAAUUUCAUUUUGUUUAUAAUUUACUUUUUUUUUCCCCCCUUCAUUGAUAAAUUUGGAGUAACAUGAAAAUAUUUCUUCUUUCCAUUUUGCCUGUAUAAAAUUAGGGUUUCAGACAAUGAAUUGGUUUGGAAAUUUUAGAUUCAAAAUGUUAAUGUAAUUUUUUUUUUUUCCCACCCCCAACAUUUAUUUCAAAUGGGGAUUCCAGCUAUUUUUUUUUAAUGCCCACAUUUACAUGUGAUAAAUUUAAUAUUAUUAUUGUUCCUUUCAUUAUUAAAACCUUAAAUGAUAAUCCCUUAAUAAAGUUCAUUGCUAUCAUCACCUUAAUAUUUUUAUGCAAAAGAAAGUUUUUGUUAAAUAUACAAUUGCCUAUGGGGUGACAUAUGUUAAGCCCAAAUGGAGAUUUUUGCUUCAAUUUUCACAGUUAAGCAAAAAAAUUCAUUUUAAAACAUGGACAGUAUAUCAUAAGAUUUUUUUACAUCCUUCUCACUUUCCAAGAAAUUAAAUGUUUGAAUACUUUGUUUGCUGUUUUGUACAGGUCAUUGGAAAGUAGUUUUACAAUUAUGUUAACUCCUCAUUCUGUUUUUUUUUUUUUUUUUUUUUGUAAACGUAUGUUAUUUGUUAGUGGCAAAAUAGAUGGGGUUUUUUUUGUUUUUUUUUUCUUUUGGCAAAUUUUAGUUUAUUGGUGCUAUAGAUAAUUGUGUGACCCUUAGUAUUUCAAAUUUUAAGCUUCUGGAGAAAAUUUAUAUUGAAAAAUUGCUUUAUGAAUAAAUGGAUUGUUAUAAAUGCUGAUUUUAUAAAAUUCCUAUAAAUUUAAUGUCCUGUCAUACCUUAAGAUAUUUUGUGGGUCUCAACAGUUGUUUUUAGUGAAAUUUAGAAUUGGUUAUAAUUUUGUUAGCUUUAACAUUUCAUUUAAUAGAGCAGCUUUAUUGGUUGGUUUAUUCAUACACUAAAUCCCAUUUGUUUUACCUUGAAAAUGCCUUAGUAUAAAAAAUAAAUGUCCAGUCUCAUUUAAUUUGAAACUAUUAUUUAAUCAUUAAUAUAAAAGGCAUAUAGUAGUUGAUUUAUUUUUAUUGUUGCAAAAGGGAAAUGGAUGUGAAAAUUUUUUUUUUUAAAUGUCCACAAAAAUUCUAAUCAGUGCUUUGUCUCCUCAAAGUAUUACUAUUGGUUAUGUAAUUUUAUUUCUUAGGGAAAUGCUAUUUUAAAAUUAUGUUCUGAAAUUUUUUCUUGUCACAAAAAAAAAAACUGAUUUUUAUUGUGAAAAUAUGUAAAAUCCUCAUAUUUUUAUAUUAAUUACACAAAAAGUUGUCUUUUGCUUUAUUUUUCUUCAACUUGAAUUAAAGGUAAAAAGCAAACUUAGUUGUCAUGUUUACUCAAAGCCUGUCUACUCUGUAACACACUGUUGGUUGAUUAGGAUGUGUGUGUGUUGUAUAAUUUGUGGCACAAAAUUUUAAAUAUAAUUCUGGAAAAGUUAUAAUUACAACUGGUAUAGUCAUAUUACAAAAGAUAGUUGGGAAUUCUUUUUAAGUGAUGUUGACUUUGGAAAACUGUUGUGGAAUCUUGCUAAAAUAAAUAUAUAUGCAUAGUUAUUCACACUUCAAAAUUAUAAGAAUAAAAGAAAUUAGCUGUGCUUGUAAAAAUCAUUAGUCUUAUACUACCAUAGUUUGGCAGGUUGAAAAACUUGUAUCAAUUCCUCAUAGAUUUUAUAAGAUACUCUUUUCUUUUUUUGCAUAUCUUCAAUGGCAGCAUAUAACAUUGACUCUAGUAUGAAUCAUCUGGAUCGUUACAUUCCUCUGAUUCUAUCCUCUGGAUCUGAAGUAGCUGGUUAGGCUGUUAUUGAAGACUGCUAUUUAUAAAUGCAUGAUCGGAUGUGGUCGUCUUGCCGGCAUGAGCCAUUAUUUCAAAUGUAAAAUUUUGAAUAAAUAAAACAAAGAAGAAAUAAUUUUAGUUAUUGUUUCUUAUUUUAUGAUUUUCAAUGGCUCUUUAACUUCUUCCAAGUAGAAGAUUACAUUCUUUUCAUGUUUGAAUUAACUAUAAAAAAAAAAGCCUCCCACUUUGCUCUCUAUAGAAAAUAUAUAUAUAUACUGUCUAUCCAGUUUGUCCCUGCAUUAAUCGCAAUAACUAAAUUUCUAGUGCUGCUACUGGAAAUUUUAUUAUUUAUAACGUAAAUUAGUUUUCAUUUUCUCAUAGAUCUACAUAUUUGUAUUUACCCUUUUCAUGAAUCCCUCUCCUUAUUUCAUGAUUAUCUUCAUCUACAUAAUAAACCCUAUUUUGCUGUCACUUUUUAAUACUCUGUCAGUACAUUCUGUUCAUAUUUUGGACUUGGACCUUUAUAAAUUUAAAAGUUUGGCUCCAUUUAAUAGCAAGGAUUUUUGGAUCAGAAACUUUGCUGUUGAAUAUUUAGCAGAAUGCCUCAUGUCCUUCAAUGUGGUAAAUGCUAUUAGUUAGAAGAAAUGAAAUUUUGAUUUUUGUCUUUAAAUUAAAAUUCUAUAAUCAUCCUUUGCUUCAAGGAUAUACACUGCUCUAUUAACACCUUUCUUUGAAUUUUAGGAUAGAAUUUUUUGGAGUUGUUAUAUAGUUUACUUUUAAGUUGUUCGUUUCUAAAUAGUUCAUGCUGGAAUUGAGAUCACUAAGCGACACUUGGCAAAGAAGACUUGAUUUGACUAAGAUUUUUUUUUUUCUUCCACUUAGGUUCUAUAUUCAAUGUAUGUAAUAGUUUAUGUAUAAAACCUGUUAGAAAUAAGUGUUAUUAUUCAAUACUUGAAAGUUAGAACAAUCAUGAUUUUAAAAAAAUAAAAUUCACUAUUACAAUCUCUAAACUAUAUCAAAUAUUAAUGCCUUAAAACUUUGAAUUCAAUAUUUCAUUGCAUAAAGCUUUGAUUCAUUGAUUUCAACGCAAUAAUAAAUUUCCACUUUCUCAGUCGCAUUUCAUAUGAUUAUCCAUUUCUCAGAAGUAUUAUACUUGUUGAUUUUCAAGCUCAGCCAUCUACCAAACCUCAUUAUCCAUUUAUGCAUGUUUUUAUUUUUGGCAACUUAACAUGAACAAUUCAAAUAAGAUCAUCGAAAUAUACAAAAUUCUUAUCUCUGGAAAAAAAAAAUAAUAAUAAUAAUAAUAAUAAAUGGUAUUGAAAUCCUUUUCUAAUUCAGUAUUGUUCCUAAAAUUUUUCUUGAUUCUCUCAGUUAUUUUUACAUUUUGUUUCCUUCAAAUCUUUUCACAAAUAUUAAAACCAUUGUCAAUGAGUAAAUAUUCUGAAAAUAUGCUUUGCAUUAUUGAAGUUCUACCUUUCAGCAAAUGACAAGUAUUUACAGUAGAUGAUAUUAUGUAAAUUGGAGCAGAUAAAGUAAAUCUACUUCUUUCUGCAAAUACAGUUCCAUUGUAUAUUAUUUAUAUGGCCAAAACCCUGUUGAUGGUUUCUAUUUAGUCAAUGAUUUGGAUUGUAUUUUUAUAAAGUUAUUUCUUCAAGGAUUUAUUUUGGGGUUUGAGAUUACUUGUCAAAAGAAGUGCACCUUAUUUUGCUAUGUCUUCUACGUGUGUGUGUGUAUGUAUGCAUAUGUAUAUAACUAGUUGGAGAUUUCAUUUGAAAUGGAAAGAACCACAAAGUCAGGUACUUGAUAUGUUAAUUAGAGGGUAUAUUAAUUUAGUGACUCUUACAGGACUAGUACUGCUACAUUCUUGAUGAAUUCCCCAAAAAUGUAACAAUUUUGUAUGAGUUAAAAAAAAUAUAUACGUAUAAUAUAGGAAGGAUUUUUCCACAUUAAUAGGUGGCCAUCAAUUAUGUUUAUACUUCAAUUCUACAAGCAACUUCAAAUUGAAAGCUAAAAGGUGGUGAGGUGAGUGGUCAGUAUUUAAUCUAGUCAACAAUUUGCUGCUGAAAUUAUAACCUGGUAUCUAAUGGUCUUUUUAAAUUGCCUAGAUUGUGUAUAUAUUGUCUUCACCCCUGGGUUUUGUUCAAGCAUCUGUCAUAUAAAGUAUUUCUUUGACUUGAUUACAAAAUUCUAAAUAUUAUUGGACCUUUACAGAGGUUUCACUUGUGAGUCUACAUAUCAAAUAUGGCUAUUGUCUAAUUUCGUACACUAUUUAUCUUCCAGAUGAACACUGAACAAGUAUGGUUUAUGUGAAAUUAAUUGUACUAUAAUAAACAUAACACCAUAGAUGUUUGAAAGGAAUCUUUAUAUAAGACUAAAAUUAAUAUUCGGCUUACAGAAUAUUAUUGUAGAAGCUAGAUAUUCUAAGUAUAUAGAUUUCCUGUGUUUAGAAGAGCAAUGAAAAAGGGUAAAUUGAUUGGAAUUGGUUUAAAAAUUCACUCCAUUAUGUCUCUCUAACUGAAACUUUAUUGCAAGUUUACAACAAAUCCAUGUUUUAACCCUUUUUCAUGAGCUAAUUGAAACACACUGAUGGUGCUUCAUUUUGAAUAUAAUCAACAAUUGAGAGGAUUUCAGUGAAAUAAUUUUGUCAUUUUAACUUGGUGUUUCAAAAACAACAAAAGGUUCUUACAUAAAAUUAUAAUUGGAGGUUUUAAUUUAAGCAUAAAUACUUACGGUUUGGUAUUAAGAGGAUAAAAGUUGAAUUUUUUCCCCUCCUUUGUGUAAUCCAACUUUUAUUGAUCUUGUUCUAGCAAGACAUUGUCAUGUGGUUCUAAUCUUGUCAGAUCUAGUGGUUUUUAUUGUAUUUUAGCUAAUCCAAAAGGAAGUAUUAAUGUGUAUUUUUAUUACAAAAUUAUUUUUCAUAAAAAUUUGCUUCAUAUUUUGUAAAUUAACAGAUGUGAUGCUUCUUUAAAGGUUUCAUAUUACAGAGAUAUAUAAAUAUUCAAUAUCAUUAAUAUUUAACAAAUUUUUCAUACUGUUAUCUUAAUCUUUUCUACUUGAUUGAUAUUUCAUCUGGUUAAGUAUCCAUAAGUAUGAGUUGCAAUGUGACUAGAGCUAGUGAGUCUAACAAAACCCAUACCUCCCAACAUACUCAUAAUUUAAACGCAGCAAUUAUUGAAAUGCUUUUGUAGUUCUUUCACUGCUUAAAGUAGUGAGCUGUAUCAAGCUAUUUAGUGGUGAGAAUACAAUAUUUUUACUAUGACCACAGUGAAAUGAUAUAAACUACUUGGUCAAACGCAACUCCUGAACCCAACAAAUUUACACCCACACUUGUUUUUACUUAAAUUUUAUCCCUUUUUAAGGACAUAUAUUUCUCCAUGUAUUCUUUGGUAUUUACACAUCGAAUUUAUUCAGUUAAUUUCAUAAAAUAUUCAGAAUUAUGAAGAGGCAUAUAAACACAUGUAAAAUAAUCCAUGCCAUCCAACUAAAUAUUUCUUAGGAUACCUUGAUUUCUAACUUUCAUUUUUAAUUUUAGAGUUUGCAAUAUCUGAAAUUUCAAAUACUCAUUAAAUAGAUCAACAUGUCACAUAUUACCUUAUUUUUAACAUGAAAGUGUGCGAUACAUCAUUGUUUGAAUAUUCUUUACUAGUGAUAUUGAUCCAUGGCAGGUUAAACCUGUUGACUUUAGUAGGGAUAUUCAUCUUCCAGGGGGAGAAAGGAUUCCUACUGCCUUUGCUAGUCCCAUGAGGAAAUUUGAGAUCAUUGCAAGCUAACAAAACACUAGCCAAUUAUAAAGUACCCUUGUUGCUAACAAUAAUGAACUAUUCUCACCACCCACUAUGAAAGGACAACUGAAUUGGCUCACUUUGAGUCUACUGACCUUUUCAGAUGCACAGCACUAGUGACUAAACAAAAGAUGUUGAUCUUUCUAUUAGUAAGCCAGCAUCAUGCCAAACUCCUCUAUCUAUGACUCUUAUUAAUAUAUUAACUUUGAAUAAAUUAUUUGUAUACAAGACAUUAAUUUGUCUGAAAUUUAUAUAAAUUUCUGACUUGGCAUUGUUUCUGCUGUGAUUUAGUCACAUUCUACAAAGCUGUGGUUUGUUCUUUCUCAUCAAACAUUUAAAUAAAUUUGAAUGUUUUAUUUCAAUAACUCAAUAUAUUUGAAUUGACUGCCAUAUGAUUUACUGAAAGUGUUUGUAAAUUUGAAUUUUUCAACGAAUCCUGUCAAGAUUAAGUAGUAACUUUGUAGUGAAAAGUAAACAAAAUAAAACUCUCUUGAAAGUGGUUUUAUUAUCUUGAUAAUUUCUUGACAAGAGAGCACCAGUAAUUUAAGCAAGUACUAUCGAAUUGUCUUGCUCAAAGUAUAUGACUUCCACUAACUCAUAACCCAACCAAGUUAUGUAUUGUUCAUUUGAUGAAUGCAUUUCCCCCAAACUUAACUGAUAUUCAUAAGAAUUGUUUUUGAUACUUAAAACUGGGUGGAUAUAAAAACAAUUUUUUUAAUAUAUUGAAAUAAACUCCACGAACAAAACAUGACAAAUUUUAACUUAGCAAUGCAAUUAAGAGGCCAUUAACUCUUAGCAAACUCUGAGUAGCCACACAUUUUGUUCAAGUCCGCAUUCUAUACAAAUAUUAACAUAUUUUGCCUAUUUUUGUUGACUAUCAUUUUUGAAUUUUGAAAAUAUUGCCAAAUCUGGCUAUUUAAAGGUACUUUUAAAUGGAUGAAAUAAAUGGAAAAAUUGUGAUAGUAACUUGUAAGCUGAGGCAAGGAAUUUAUUUGAUAUCAAUAUAUUUCAAUAACUAAUUAAUGUAAAAGUAUUUUCAGAGUAAAGUGGAUAAAUUUUUGGAAUUGCAAGCAUAAGUUUGUACACUUAAGAUGUCUUGUAAUAUUUGCACCAAUUGUAUACUGGUAUUUUGUAUGAUGGGGCUUAAGCAGAAAUUAAUUACAGCAAUUUAUAUGCCUUGUUAUAAAUUUAAUAAAAUUAUUGAGUCAUG